Molecule: non-coding RNA, 1844 nt
Organism: Camellia sinensis
Lineage: Eukaryota; Viridiplantae; Streptophyta; Magnoliopsida; Ericales; Theaceae
Source: RefSeq, a predicted model, not a curated record
CCAUCACUGAUAUCAGUGUCGUCUGUGUAUAUAUAACGAAGGUCUCAAGGUGGAGGGUCAUUUGAAUGUUUUUUUCAACAAUUUUCACUUAUAUGUGGAUAAUCGUGAUAGCCAUUUCAAGAUUAGGGUUUUGUAUUAAGGAACAAUGAGCCGCUCAAGUAGAACACUCUAUGUUGGCAAUCUUCCCGGUGACAUUCGUGAGCGGGAAGUAGAAGAUCUCUUUUACAAAUAUGGACCGGUAGCCCAUAUUGAUUUGAAAAUCCCACCAAGACCCCCUGGUUAUGCUUUUGUUGAGUUUGAAGAGGCUCGUGAUGCUGAAGAUGCUAUUAGAGGUCGCGAUGGUUAUGAUUUUGAUGGGCACCGGCUACGGGUGGAGCUUGCACAUGGAGGUCGAGGAAAUUCAGCAUCAAUCGAUCGUUACAGUAGUUACAGCAGUGGGCGUGGUCCCCGUGGUGGAGUGUCCAGGCGCUCUGAAUAUCGUGUGUUAGUCUCCGGAUUGCCUAGCUCUGCUUCUUGGCAAGACCUUAAGGAUCACAUGCGUCGAGCAGGGGAUGUGUGCUUCUCCCAAGUUUUUCGUGAUGGAAGUGGUACAACAGGGAUUGUGGAUUACACAAACUAUGAUGACAUGAAAUAUGCAAUUAGGAAGCUUGAUGACUCUGAGUUUCGGAAUGCUUUUACUCGAGCAAUAGUUCGUGUAAGGGAGUAUAAAUCAAGCCGAAGCCGAAGCCAAAGCCAAAGUCGGAGCCGGAGCUAUUCCAGAAGCCGCAGUCGUAGUCGCUCUUACUCGAGAGGCAGGAGCUACAGUCGUAGCCGGAGUUUGAGUCGGAGCAGGAGCAGGAGCAAGUCUCCGAAAGCCAAAUCUGCGCAUCGAUCACUUGCUAAAUCUCGGUCAAGGUCUGCUUCUCGUUCUCGUUCUGGAUCAAAGCCACGUUCUCUGUCAAGAUAUGGAUGUAUGCGGCUAUCUGGGGAUUGGAUAGUAGGAUCUUGGUGGGAUGUGGUUCAAGUGCCUGCAACUGUUGUGGUUGUGAAGAUUGGGAACAAUGAAGUUCAUGGGUUGUGAUGGUAAAGCUGGACUAUGAACUAAUUGCUAUUGGAAUUUGGGAACCACCAUCCUGCGGUAGAAACAAUUAUACUAUCAUUGCUUUUUCAACAUUGCCAAGCUAAUAGAACACAGUAUCUGGAUUCUUUGUUGAUCUUUUGGGCAUCCUGUCCACUGGUGUCUUAAACAAGCAUUGUAAUGCUUUCAUUAAGGUUUGCAUUUUAACUUUAGUAGGUCUUUUAUUUAGAGGGUGCCAUAUAUUUCUCUGUUGGGCUGCUAAAUACUUGUGGCUUUCCUUUUUUAUCUGUUUUGAUUAUGGUAAAUAUGACGUGGAAGAGGCAUCAAGGCUCUUGGAGCACAGUUGUUACAAGGGACUUGUGGAUAUUAAAUUUGGGUUGUUUCUGGAACUUUUGCAGAUCUCCAUCAAGAUCCAGAUCUCCCGUACCAUCUCGGCAGAAACGCAUGAGUGAAAGCCCAAAAAAGCACAGUUCUAGCCGGAGCCGGAGUAAGAGUGUGUCCAGGUGAGAUUUGAUUGUGGUUGAAUCUGUUGACUCCAGUGCAGUGAAGGAGGUAAAUUUGUUUGCCUGAUAUUUACGUUUGUGGGUUAACAGUGGGUUCAUCUGCCACAAUUAAAAAAAAUAGACUGGAGUUUGGAUGGAUUUGGAAUAGUGAUUGUGUGUUAUCAUUUUCAGCUAAUUUCUAAUAUGUUUGUUGAACUAGAACCCAUUAUCUACCAAAUUUACUGUAUGUAUUUUACUUGUGAGCUUUCAACUUAUAGGAAAAGGCUUUGGUAUUUUCUGGGUUA